RNAcentral lists this transfer RNA (92 nucleotides) under Salmonella enterica subsp. indica. RNAcentral's name for it is "tRNA-Phe(aaa)". The record is from RNAcentral. Lineage: Bacteria; Pseudomonadati; Pseudomonadota; Gammaproteobacteria; Enterobacterales; Enterobacteriaceae.
GCAGGUAUGACGCGGUAUGUUGUUUACUUAAAAGGUAGUUCUUAUAAUUCGUAAUGCGAAGGUCGUAGGUUCGACUCCUAUUAUCGGCACCA